Molecule: long non-coding RNA, 245 nt
Organism: Telopea speciosissima
Lineage: Eukaryota; Viridiplantae; Streptophyta; Magnoliopsida; Proteales; Proteaceae
Exons: 2
Source: RefSeq, a predicted model, not a curated record
UAUAUUUAAAUUUAAUCAGGCUUGACGUUAAAAGGGAGGAUUUUGCGUAAAAAUGGGGAAGCAUUGGAACAUAAAAUUGUGCAAGCCUCAAUUAGAGAAGCUGAAGAAGGAUGCUCUUGAAGCAAUGGAAACUCAGAAAAGAACGGGAGGAGUUCAAAGACGAGCAGAUGAUUGAUGUUGAGUCUCUGGACAUCCGGAACUUCAUCUGAAGUAAAUGGCUCCACUCACUGUUUCCAGUGUUUUAA